UCCGCCUGGGGACUACGAGCACCAGCUUAAAACCCAAAGGACUUGGCGGUGCUUUAGACCCCCCUAGAGGAGCCUGUUCUAGAACUGAUAACCCCCGUUAAACCUCACCAUCCUUUGUUUAACCCGCCUAUAUACCACCGUCGCCAGCUUACCCUGUGAAGGGAAAAUAGUAAGCAUAAAUGGCAAAGCCAAAAACGUCAGGUCGAGGUGUAGCGAAUGGGAUGGGAAGAAAUGGGCUACAUUCUCUACGC
Molecule: ribosomal RNA, 251 nt
Filed under: Molva macrophthalma
Lineage: Eukaryota; Metazoa; Chordata; Actinopteri; Gadiformes; Lotidae
Description: partial 12S ribosomal RNA
Rfam family: Bacterial small subunit ribosomal RNA
Source: RNAcentral